CGGGGUGUAGCGCAGCUGGCUAGCGCACCACGUUAGGGACGUGGGGGUCGCGUGUUCGAAUCACGUCACUCCGA
This 74-nucleotide transfer RNA is filed under the name Eubacteriales bacterium. RNAcentral's name for it is "tRNA-Pro". It matches the Rfam family "tRNA". Rfam says of the family: Transfer RNA (tRNA) molecules are approximately 80 nucleotides in length. Their secondary structure includes four short double-helical elements and three loops (D, anti-codon, and T loops). Further hydrogen bonds mediate the characteristic L-shaped molecular structure. tRNAs have two regions of fundamental functional importance: the anti-codon, which is responsible for specific mRNA codon recognition, and the 3' end, to which the tRNAs corresponding amino acid is attached (by aminoacyl-tRNA synthetases). tRNAs cope with the degeneracy of the genetic code in two manners: having more than one tRNA (with a specific anti-codon) for a particular amino acid; and 'wobble' base-pairing, i.e. permitting non-standard base-pairing at the 3rd anti-codon position. Lineage: Bacteria; Bacillati; Bacillota; Clostridia; Eubacteriales. The record is from RNAcentral.